UCAACAUGCUUCUGAAGUUUGGUUUAAUAUUUUCGCUUCUGAUUAACUCUGUUGUCUCGAAGAUAUCGCAAGACUUGAACGAAGCUUCUGAGACUCGAACAAGAGAGAUUGCUAAAGGAUUAAGGGAAAAAAGGAUAUUCGAGGCCAUUGGUGCAGCUCUGAGGGAAAAAGGUAAAUUGGCGAAAGGAAUACUAAAUUCUGUAGUAGGAGGAGUAGCAGAAUAUGCAGCAGCUCCUAUUACGAAAGAUUUAACGAAGAAGCAAGAUUCCAUUAUUAGUGACAAUAUAGAUAAACUGCUAAAGAAGUUGUGCCAGCUACGCCCUCGUUUCUACAAUGUGUUAGGCAAGUAUAUAAGGCACGCGCACCACCCGCAGCCUUAAACAAAAUAGCUGGAUCUGCUAAGGAAUUUGGGUAUGCAUUUAUUUCCGCUGUAAAGGGCAAUAACAGCAAACUACUUAAUAUGUUAAAGGAUGUACUUGCGAUCCCCCAGGUUCAUAAUUGUGCAAAUGUCAUGCACAAAGCUUAUAAAAAAUCUGCUUCACUGCAGGAAAAAGUAGAUGAAGAAUGCAAAUAGGUUGUUUGAUGGUAACAACAACUCGUAAUACUAAACACUGUCGACUUGGAAAACGAAUUGUUCCCAAUUGACAACAACUAAAAGGCAACAUUGUAAUAAAUUCAAAUUGUUUCGAAGCUAAGAGCAAUCGCUGAUAUAUUGGGUAUGACUUAACUGUUAACUUAUUUUAUUUAAUUUGAUCAGUUUCAUGGAUUUCAAUAAAAAUGUAAAAACAAACAACUGAAAACCAACAUGGCGAACCAUAAGAGCUGCUUUAUAAUAAAAUAAAUGCUUAAUUCUUGCUAAUCGCA
Scaptodrosophila lebanonensis is the source of this 864-nucleotide long non-coding RNA. RefSeq lists it as uncharacterized. NCBI's taxonomy places the organism in Eukaryota, Metazoa, Arthropoda, Insecta, Diptera, Drosophilidae. The record is from RefSeq and is a predicted model, not a curated record. The transcript has 3 exons.